Molecule: ribosomal RNA, 252 nt
Filed under: uncultured microorganism
Description: partial 16S ribosomal RNA
Rfam family: Bacterial small subunit ribosomal RNA
Source: RNAcentral
UACGUAGGGUGCGAGCGUUAAUCGGAUUUACUGGGCGUAAAGCGUGCGCAGGCGGCCCGUUAAGACAGGUGUGAAAUCCCUGGGCUCAACCUAGGAAUUGCGCUUGUGACUGGCGGGCUCGAGUACGGUAGAGGGGGGUGGAAUUCCUGGUGUAGCAGUGAAAUGCGUAGAGAUCAGGAGGAACACCGAUGGCGAAGGCAGCCCCCUGGGCCUGUACUGACGCUCAUGCACGAAAGCGUGGGAGCAAACAGG